This 236-nucleotide unclassified non-coding RNA is filed under the name Hevea brasiliensis (rubber tree). The record is from RNAcentral. Lineage: Eukaryota; Viridiplantae; Streptophyta; Magnoliopsida; Malpighiales; Euphorbiaceae.
GUCUGAGCAUCCGGAGAUGGACUUUUCAAGGGCAAAGAUAUCAUAAAUGGAACUGCCUGAUUCUCUAUGACGUAUAGAUAAGAGAACCCAAAGAAAAAAAACCGAAAACAUUUAUAGUUUUUGUUCAGGGCUGGAAAGUUUUAUGUUUCUGUAGGGAGGUUUGAACUAUCGUGCCGGUUCUUUAGUAUCUAGGGGAAAUGAGGGCCUUUUCUAGAUUAUGAGAAUGGCAGUGUGAA